RNAcentral lists this ribosomal RNA (505 nucleotides) under uncultured bacterium. Its description in RNAcentral is "bacterial SSU rRNA". It matches the Rfam family "Bacterial small subunit ribosomal RNA", at positions 501 to 1008 of the family's 1533-position model. The record is from RNAcentral.
CUACGUGCCAGCAGCCGCGGUAAUACGGAAGGUCCAGGCGUUAUCCGGAUUUAUUGGGUUUAAAGGGAGCGUAGGCUGGAGAUUAAGUGUGUUGUGAAAUGUAGACGCUCAACGUCUGAAUUGCAGCGCAUACUGGUUUCCUUGAGUACGCACAACGUUGGCGGAAUUCGUCGUGUAGCGGUGAAAUGCUUAGAUAUGACGAAGAACUCCGAUUGCGAAGGCAGCUGACGGGAGCGCAACUGACGCUUAAGCUCGAAGGUGCGGGUAUCAAACAGGAUUAGAUACCCUGGUAGUCCGCACAGUAAACGAUGGAUGCCCGCUGUUGGUACCUGGUAUCAGCGGCUAAGCGAAAGCAUUAAGCAUCCCACCUGGGGAGUACGCCGGCAACGGUGAAACUCAAAGGAAUUGACGGGGGCCCGCACAAGCGGAGGAACAUGUGGUUUAAUUCGAUGAUACGCGAGGAACCUUACCCGGGCUUGAAUUGCAGAGGAAGGAUUUAGAGAUA